CCUACGGGAGGCUGCAGUGAGGAAUAUUGGUCAAUGGACGAGAGUCUGAACCAGCCACGUAGCGUGAAGGAUGACUGCCCUAUGGGUUGUAAACUUCUUUUAUAUGGGAAUAAAAUGUUCCACGUGUGGGAUUUUGUAUGUACCAUAUGAAUAAGGAUCGGCUAACUCCGUGCCAGCAGCCGCGGUAAUCCGGAGGAUCCGAGCGUUAUCCGGAUUUAUUGGGUUUAAAGGGAGCGUAGGUGGAUUGUUAAGUCAGUUGUGAAAGUUUGCGGCUCAACCGUAAAAUUGCAGUUGAAACUGGCAGUCUUGAGUACAGUAGAGGUGGGCGGAAUUCGUGGUGUAGCGGUGAAAUGCUUAGAUAUCACGAAGAACUCCGAUUGCGAAGGCAGUUCACUGGACUGCAACUGACACUGAGGCUCGAAAGUGUGGGUAUCAAACAGGAUUAGAUACCCCUGUAGUC
Molecule: ribosomal RNA, 460 nt
Filed under: uncultured bacterium
Lineage: Bacteria
Description: partial 16S ribosomal RNA
Rfam family: Bacterial small subunit ribosomal RNA
Source: RNAcentral